GGAUCUUUUUMUAAACGGCCGCAGAAWUUUAACUGUGCUAAGGUAGCAUAAUCAUUUGUCUUUUAAUUGGAGACUAGUAUGAAUGGUUUAACGAAAUUAAGCUGUCUCUUUUAUACUAAAUAAAAUUUAAUCUUAAAGUUAAAAAGCUUUAAUAUAAUAAAAAGACAAAAAGACCCUAUAGAGUUUUAUUUUUAAUUUUAUAAAUAAUUAAUUAAAAAUUUUGUUGGGGCAACAAAGAAAAAAUAAAUUUUUCUUUAUUUAAUAAAUAUACUAUAUCAUUUACUUAAUACAUCAAAAUAAAUUACCUUAGGGAUAACAGCGUAAUUUUCUUUGAGAGUCCAAAUCGAAAAGAAAAAUUAC
Molecule: ribosomal RNA, 360 nt
Filed under: Simrothiellidae sp. 1 FSB-2019
Lineage: Eukaryota; Metazoa; Mollusca; Solenogastres; Cavibelonia; Simrothiellidae
Description: partial large subunit ribosomal RNA
Source: RNAcentral